GAUUUUUUUUUUCUUCCUAAUGCUGCUUCUUGUUCCUUUUUAAGUUUAGUAACUUUCCCUACUAUAUUUUUUGAUCGACACAUAUUAAGUUAUCUACCCAGUUUAGCUAGAAAUACUUUUUCUGUUUUGUUUUUCCCAUUCUCUAUUGAACCUGUUUUGAACAACUGGUCUUUUUUUUGUGGAGUGCUGACCUUUAUAUUCCUUCAAGUUCUCUGCUG
RNAcentral lists this unclassified non-coding RNA (218 nucleotides) under Hevea brasiliensis (rubber tree). Lineage: Eukaryota; Viridiplantae; Streptophyta; Magnoliopsida; Malpighiales; Euphorbiaceae. The record is from RNAcentral.